UACGGAGGGUGCAAACGUUGCUCGGAAUCAUUGGGCGUAAAGCGCACGUAGGCGGCCUGUUAAGUCGGGUGUGAAAGCCCUGGGCUCAACCCAGGAAGUGCAUUCGAAACUGGCAGGCUUGAAUAUGGAAGAGGGUCGCGGAAUUCCCGGUGUAGAGGUGAAAUUCGUAGAUAUCGGGAGGAACACCAGUGGCGAAGGCGGCGACCUGGGCCGAUACUGACGCUGAGGAGCGAAAGCGUGGGGAGCGAACAGG
Molecule: ribosomal RNA, 253 nt
Filed under: uncultured bacterium
Lineage: Bacteria
Description: partial 16S ribosomal RNA
Rfam family: Bacterial small subunit ribosomal RNA
Source: RNAcentral